RNAcentral lists this long non-coding RNA (296 nucleotides) under Mustela putorius furo (domestic ferret). RNAcentral's name for it is "lncRNA (ENSMPUG00000031373.1)". The record is from RNAcentral. Lineage: Eukaryota; Metazoa; Chordata; Mammalia; Carnivora; Mustelidae.
GGAGAACUCUGAAAAGUAAAUAAGAACAGAUGGAUGGGUAGAGACCUCACACGCCAACAACAACGUAUGGUGAGAGAGAGCCGGGAGGAGCAGAGAGAGAGGAGAGAGAGAGAAUCUUCAAGCAGACGGGGCGCAGAGUGUGAAGCCCGAUGCGGGACUCGACCCCAGGACCCUGAGAUCGUGACCUGAGCCAAAACCAAGAGUUGGAAGCUCAACUGACUGAGCCCCCCGACCCCACCCCAGGUGCCCUGACUUUCCGAUACAACAAGGAAGGCUGGAGCCCAUCUCUGAAGGCA